UUCCAAUCAAUUUGCCUCACUAGU
This 24-nucleotide non-coding RNA is filed under the name Arabidopsis thaliana (thale cress). Lineage: Eukaryota; Viridiplantae; Streptophyta; Magnoliopsida; Brassicales; Brassicaceae. The record is from RNAcentral.